RNAcentral lists this unclassified non-coding RNA (409 nucleotides) under Eurytemora carolleeae. RNAcentral's name for it is "acid-sensing ion channel 4". Lineage: Eukaryota; Metazoa; Arthropoda; Copepoda; Calanoida; Temoridae. The record is from RNAcentral.
UGGGGUGCCCACUAGCUUUAAUAUUUAAGUAUUUAAGUUACUGAUGAUAUUUUCCAGCGAGAUAUCCUAGCUAUGGGAUGCCCACUAGCUUUAAUAUUUAAGUAUUUGAUUUACCGAUGAUAUUAUCCAGCGAGAUAUCCUAGCUAUGGGAUGCCCACUACCCUGCAAUAGAAGCUCCUUUAGUCUUGAAUAUACAUAUAUUCGUCAAGAGAAGAUUGAUAUUGGUUGGGGAAGAGAGGACUUCGAUUUUGCUAUUUCUAUUUGGGCAAAGAAUUUUCAAAUUGAGGACAGCGAAGAGAUAAUAGUGUGUGAUUCAACCUGUCUUUUAGGGGAGGUUGGGGUAAUAUUGGAUUAUAUCUGGGUGUAUCUGUUAUCACUCUUGUGGAUAUUCUAUUCAUUAUACUUUAUA